This 373-nucleotide ribosomal RNA is filed under the name uncultured bacterium. RNAcentral describes it as "bacterial SSU rRNA". It matches the Rfam family "Bacterial small subunit ribosomal RNA", at positions 525 to 896 of the family's 1533-position model. The record is from RNAcentral.
ACGUAGGGUGCGAGCGUUAAUCGGAAUUACUGGGCGUAAAGCGCGCGUAUGCGGCUGGGUAAGUCGGAUGUGAAAGCCCCGAGCUUAACUUGGGAACUGCAUUCGAUACUGCCCGACUAGAGUAUGGUAGAGGAAAGCGGAAUUCCCGGUGUAGCGGUGAAAUGCGUAGAUAUCGGGAGGAACAUCAGUGGCGAAGGCGGCUUUCUGGACCAAUACUGACGCUGAGGCGCGAAAGCGUGGGUAGCAAACGGGAUUAGAUACCCUGGUAGUCCACGCCCUAAACUAUGUCAACUAGCCGUUGGGCUCGUUUAGGAACUCAGUGGCGCAGCUAACGCGAUAAGUUGACCGCCUGGGGAGUACGGCCGCAAGGUUA